Molecule: ribosomal RNA, 517 nt
Filed under: Enterococcus faecalis
Lineage: Bacteria; Bacillati; Bacillota; Bacilli; Lactobacillales; Enterococcaceae
Description: bacterial SSU rRNA
Rfam family: Bacterial small subunit ribosomal RNA
Source: RNAcentral
GGACAAAGUGACAGGUGGUGCAUGGUUGUCGUCAGCUCGUGUCGUGAGAUGUUGGGUUAAGUCCCGCAACGAGCGCAACCCUUAUUGUUAGUUGCCAUCAUUUAGUUGGGCACUCUAGCGAGACUGCCGGUGACAAACCGGAGGAAGGUGGGGAUGACGUCAAAUCAUCAUGCCCCUUAUGACCUGGGCUACACACGUGCUACAAUGGGAAGUACAACGAGUCGCUAGACCGCGAGGUCAUGCAAAUCUCUUAAAGCUUCUCUCAGUUCGGAUUGCAGGCUGCAACUCGCCUGCAUGAAGCCGGAAUCGCUAGUAAUCGCGGAUCAGCACGCCGCGGUGAAUACGUUCCCGGGCCUUGUACACACCGCCCGUCACACCACGAGAGUUUGUAACACCCGAAGUCGGUGAGGUAACCUUUUUGGAGCCAGCCGCCUAAGGUGGGAUAGAUGAUUGGGGUGAAGUCGUAACAAGGUAGCCGUAUCGGAAGGUGCGGCUGGAUCACCUCCUUUCUAAGGAA